RNAcentral lists this ribosomal RNA (253 nucleotides) under uncultured bacterium. RNAcentral's name for it is "partial 16S ribosomal RNA". It matches the Rfam family "Bacterial small subunit ribosomal RNA", at positions 524 to 776 of the family's 1533-position model. The record is from RNAcentral.
UACGAAGGGUCCAAGCGUUAUCCGGAUUUAUUGGGUUUAAAGGGUGCGUAGGCGGCUUAUUAAGUCAGUGGUGAAAGCCCGUAGCUUAACUACGGAACUGCCAUUGAUACUGAUGAGCUUGAAUAUACUUGAGGUUGGCGGAAUGUGUCAUGUAGCGGUGAAAUGCUUAGAUAUGACACAGAACACCGAUUGCGAAGGCAGCUAGCUAAAGUAUGAUUGACGCUGAUGCACGAAAGCGUGGGGAGCAAACAGG